RNAcentral lists this long non-coding RNA (1644 nucleotides) under Pan troglodytes (chimpanzee). Its description in RNAcentral is "long non-coding RNA NONPTRT009013". The record is from RNAcentral. Lineage: Eukaryota; Metazoa; Chordata; Mammalia; Primates; Hominidae.
ACAAGUUCAAGAAUUGUCAGGGAAAUGGACAAACGAACUGUGAAGGAUAUUUCUCCAUCUGCUGGUGAGCAUGGUGACUGUACUACUCACAGCACUGCUGCCACAUCAGGAUUAUCUCUGCAAUCUGACACCUGCCUGGCAGUGGUUAAUGACGUGCCUCUACCCCCUGGCAAAGGUCUUGACCUUGGGUUGCUGGAGACUCAGCUGCUGGCCUCCCAGGAUUCAGUCUCAACAGAUCCCAAACCAUGCAUCUUCUCAGAUGCUCAAAGGCCUUCUUCCUUUGGGUCCAAGGGAACUUUUCCCCCCAUGACAUUGCUACCUCUGUGGCUGCCGUUUGUAUUUCUCUGCCAGUGAGAACAGAUCACAUAGCCCAGGAAAUUCACAGUGCUGAACCACGAGACCACAGCCAGACUGCAGGGAGGACUCUGACAUCAAGCUCCCCAGACAGCAAAGUCACAGAAGAGGGCAGAGCACAGACCCUCUUGCCAGGGAGACCUUCAUCUGGACAAAGAAUUUCAGAUUCGGUUCCACUGGAGUCAACUGAAAAAACUCAUCUUGAAACACCAGCUUCAGGACCAAGUUCAGCUAGUUCACACCACAAGGAAGGGAGACACAAGAUGUUUUUUCCUUCCAGAGGCCAGUAUGGGUGUGGGGAAAUGACUGUCCCCUGCCCCUCUUUAGGAAGUGACGGUAGGAAACGUCAGGUAUCUGGAUUAAUCACUCGGAAAGAUUCUGUGGUUCCUUCUAAGCCAGAGCAGCCCAUAGAAAUUCCUGAAGCCCCUUCUAAAUCCCUCAAGAAGAGGAGUCUGGAAGGAAUGAGAAAGCAAACUCGAGUAGAGUUCAGUGACACCAGCAGCGACGAUGAAGACCGAUUAGUUAUAGAAAUAUGAAGCUUCCAGAGAAACAUGGUAUCUUUGGUCAAAAAGACUGUUGACGCUUCACAAGUAAAUGUUGUCAGGCUGGCGGAAGAACUAAACUCUAUCUGUGAAACACCUACAGAUUAGGAAAGCCAUUUUGAGUUAUUUACAAGCCAACUCCAACCAACUUCUGACCCCCAACUCAGCCGCAGCGUUCUCCAGCUCCCCUUGGGAGUGCUCUGCUCAUCUUCAAAUGGUGCCAGGCAGGGCAGACAUGGCAAGGAAGCAAACUCUGCAAAUGGUCAACGUGCACAGUGACUGGGCCUUGACUCCCAGCCUCGUCUUCUGCACCUGUCCCCCACUGCCUCUCUGCAAUCAAAUGGCACUAACCAAGAAAGCCACCAUCAACACAUUUCUCCACAAGUGGACCCCACACAGUCGAGGCAACUGGCUUUCUCCAUUAGUAAACUGAGGGUUUGCUUCCAAGGUGGAGAGCACACUUGGGAUAAUUGGAGUAGCUUGACAAAGAGACGGGGGGUGUGAACUGGGCACAAAGAUACUUCUGUUCAUUUUGGAGACAAAAUUCAGAUACAUUAAAAAACUGAAGCUUGUUCAGAGUAAUUCACGUCCUUAGUGGAGUUGUAAAUACACUUCAAAAUGCCUAUGAUCCGGUGAUAUGCUGAUUACUUUUAAAUGUUGCACAAAUGGUCAAUACUUAUUUAUGGUCAGAUGAUGCAAGCACAUGCUCUUGUGCCUGGUGCGUUUGCUGUGGAGAUCUCCGAGACUG